GACGAACGCUGGCGGCGUGCUUAACACAUGCAAGUCGAACGGAAAGGCCCUGCUUUUGUGGGGUGCUCGAGUGGCGAACGGGUGAGUAACACGUGAGUAACCUGCCCUUGACUUUGGGAUAACUUCAGGAAACUGGGGCUAAUACCGGAUAGGAGCUCCUGCUGCAUGGUGGGGGUUGGAAAGUUUCGGCGGUUGGGGAUGGACUCGCGGCUUAUCAGCUUGUUGGUGGGGUAGUGGCUUACCAAGGCUUUGACGGGUAGCCGGCCUGAGAGGGUGACCGGCCAAAUUGGGACUGAGGUACGGGCCAGACUCCUUCGGGAGGCAGCAGUGGGGAAUAUUGCACAAUGGGCGGAAGCCUGAUGCAGCAACGCCGCGUGCGGGAUGACGGCCUUCGGGUUGUAAACCGCUUUCGCCUGUGACGAAGCGUGAGUGACGGUAAUGGGUAAAGAAGCACCGGCUAACUACGUG
This 468-nucleotide ribosomal RNA is filed under the name uncultured bacterium. RNAcentral describes it as "partial 16S ribosomal RNA". It matches the Rfam family "Bacterial small subunit ribosomal RNA", at positions 28 to 507 of the family's 1533-position model. The record is from RNAcentral.